UGGUGUCAAAAUCGGACGACC
Molecule: non-coding RNA, 21 nt
Filed under: Caenorhabditis elegans
Lineage: Eukaryota; Metazoa; Nematoda; Chromadorea; Rhabditida; Rhabditidae
Source: RNAcentral